RNAcentral lists this ribosomal RNA (270 nucleotides) under uncultured bacterium. RNAcentral describes it as "partial 16S ribosomal RNA". It matches the Rfam family "Bacterial small subunit ribosomal RNA", at positions 28 to 289 of the family's 1533-position model. The record is from RNAcentral.
GACGAACGCUGGCGGCGUGCCUAACACAUGCAAGUCGAACGCGCUCCAUUCGGUAGCAAUACUGAUGAAGAGCGAGUGGCGAACGGGUGAGUAACACAUGAGCAACCUGCCCCCGAAGACUGGGACAACACCGGGAAACCGGUGCUAAUACCGGAUAUCCCUAUCGGACCGCAUGAUCUGAUAAGGAAAUGGAUUCCGCUUCGGGAGGGGCUCGUGGCCUAUCAGCUAGUUGGUGAGGUAAUAGCUCACCAAGGCAUCGACGGGUAGCUG